CACCUCGGUUAUACGAGAGACCCUAGUUGAUAGCUCCGGCGUAAAGACUGGUUCGGAACACAAAACAAAUAAAGUCAAACAACCUCCUCGCAGUUAUAAGCAUUCUGAGAGCAUGAAGCCUCACCACGAAAGUAACUUUACUACCUCCGACCCCACGAAAGCUGAGAAA
This 169-nucleotide ribosomal RNA is filed under the name Hasemania sp. NS 3703. Its description in RNAcentral is "partial small subunit ribosomal RNA". The record is from RNAcentral. Lineage: Eukaryota; Metazoa; Chordata; Actinopteri; Characiformes; Acestrorhamphidae.